GAUGAACGCUGGCGGCGUGCCUAAUACAUGCAAGUCGAGCGAACGGACGAGAAGCUUGCUUCUCUGAUGUUAGCGGCGGACGGGUGAGUAACACGUGGAUAACCUACCUAUAAGACUGGGAUAACUUCGGGAAACCGGAGCUAAUACCGGAUGAUAUUUUGAACCGCAUGGUUCAAAAGUGAAAGACGGUCUUGCUGUCACUUAUAGAUGGAUCCGCGCUGCAUUAGCUAGUUGGUAAGGUAACGGCUUACCAAGGCAACGAUGCAUAGCCGACCUGAGAGGGUGAUCGGCCACACUGGAACUGAGACACGGUCCAGACUACUAAGGGAGGCAGCAGUAGGGAAUCUGCCGCAAUGGGCGAAAGCAUGACGGAGCAACGCCGCGUGAGUGAUGAAGGUCUUCGGAUCGUAAAACUCUGUUAUUAGGGAAGAACAUAUGUGUAAGUAACUGUGCACAUCUUGACGGUACCUAAUCAGAAAGCCACGGCUAACUACGUG
RNAcentral lists this ribosomal RNA (497 nucleotides) under uncultured bacterium. RNAcentral's name for it is "partial 16S ribosomal RNA". It matches the Rfam family "Bacterial small subunit ribosomal RNA", at positions 28 to 507 of the family's 1533-position model. The record is from RNAcentral.